GACCACUGUGAAGAUAUCAACGAAUGCUUGGAGGACAAGAGUGUUUGCCAGAGAGGAGACUGCAUUAAUACUGCGGGGUCCUAUGAUUGUACUUGUCCGGAUGGAUUUCAGCUAGACGACAAUAAAACAUGUCAAGAUAUUAAUGAAUGUGAACAUCCAGGGCUCUGUGGUCCUCAAGGGGAGUGCCUAAACACAGAGGGUUCUUUCCAUUGUGUCUGCCAACAGGGUUUCUCAAUCUCUGCAGAUGGCCGUACGUGUGAAGCUUCUGUGUGAGGAGCUGAAGCCGCAUUGACACCAGGGCUGACCUGCCCCGCUCUAAGCAGGGCUAAAUAACUCGCACAUAGCUGAAGGAAGGAGGGCCCUUCCCUGAUUUCCCAUGACUUGGAGAAGUGUCAGCAUCUGGUCAUAGUUAAUGAACCACAAUGAAGGGCAAACUCUGUCAACAUGAAUUGUCUUAAGUGUAGCAUGGCAGCUUCUAUAGCAAUAAAAAUGGCACCACUGGC
RNAcentral lists this small RNA (503 nucleotides) under Pongo abelii (Sumatran orangutan). Its description in RNAcentral is "processed transcript". The record is from RNAcentral. Lineage: Eukaryota; Metazoa; Chordata; Mammalia; Primates; Hominidae.